Molecule: ribosomal RNA, 557 nt
Filed under: uncultured Sphingomonas sp.
Lineage: Bacteria; Pseudomonadati; Pseudomonadota; Alphaproteobacteria; Sphingomonadales; Sphingomonadaceae
Description: bacterial SSU rRNA
Rfam family: Bacterial small subunit ribosomal RNA
Source: RNAcentral
ACGGGUGCGUAACGCGUGGGAAUCUGCCCUUAGGUUCGGAAUAACAGCUGGAAACGGCUGCUAAUACCGGAUGAUAUCGCGAGAUCAAAGAUUUAUCGCCUGAGGAUGAGCCCGCGUUGGAUUAGGUAGUAGGUGGGGUAAAGGCCUACCAAGCCGACGAUCCAUAGCUGGUCUGAGAGGAUGAUCAGCCACACUGGGACUGAGACACGGCCCAGACUCCUACGGGAGGCAGCAGUGGGGAAUAUUGGACAAUGGGCGCAAGCCUGAUCCAGCAAUGCCGCGUGAGUGAUGAAGGCCCUAGGGUUGUAAAGCUCUUUUACCCGGGAAGAUAAUGACUGUACCGGGAGAAUAAGCCCCGGCUAACUCCGUGCCAGCAGCCGCGGUAAUACGGAGGGGGCUAGCGUUGUUCGGAAUUACUGGGCGUAAGGCGCACGUAGGCGGCUUUGUAAGUCAGAGGUGAAAGCCUGGAGCUCAACUCCAGAACUGCCUUUGAGACUGCAUCGCUUGAAUCCAGGAGAGGUCAGUGGAAUUCCGAGUGUAGAGGUGAAAUUCGUAGA